GAUGAACGCUGGCGGCGUGCCUAAUACAUGCAAGUCGAACGAACAGACGAGGAGCUUGCUCCUCUGACGUUAGCGGCGGACGGGUGAGUAACACGUGGAUAACCUACCUAUAAGACUGGGAUAACUUCGGGAAACCGGAGCUAAUACCGGAUAAUAUAUUGAACCGCAUGGUUCAAUAGUGAAAGACGGUUUUGCUGUCACUUAUAGAUGGAUCCGCGCCGCAUUAGCUAGUUGGUACGGUAACGGCUUACCAAGGCAACGAUGCGUAGCCGACCUGAGAGGGUGAUCGGCCACACUGGAACUGAGACACGGUCCAGACUCCUACGGGAGGCAGCAGUAGGGAAUCUUCCGCAAUGGGCGAAAGCCUGACGGAGCAGCGCCGCGUGAGUGAUGAAGGUGUUCGGAUCGUAAAACUCUGUUAUUAGGGAAGAACAAAUGUGUAAGUAACUAUGCACGUCUUGACGGUACCUAGUCAGAAAGCCACGGCUAACUACGUG
Molecule: ribosomal RNA, 497 nt
Filed under: uncultured bacterium
Lineage: Bacteria
Description: partial 16S ribosomal RNA
Rfam family: Bacterial small subunit ribosomal RNA
Source: RNAcentral